UCAUGGCUCAGGAUGAACGCUAGCGGCAGGCUUAACACAUGCAAGUCGAGGGGUAACAUUGUGCUUGCACAGAUGACGACCGGCGAACGGGUGCGUAACGCGUAUAGAAUCUACCUCUUACUAAGGGAUAGCCCAGAGAAAUUUGGAUUAAUACCUUAUAGUAUGCAGACUUGGCAUCAAGACUGCAUUAAAGAUUACGGUAGGAGAUGACUAUGCGUCCUAUUAGCUAGAUGGUGUGGUAACGGCACACCAUGGCAACGAUAGGUAGGGGCCCUGAGAGGGGGAUCCCCCACACUGGUACUGAGACACGGACCAGACUCCUACGGGAGGCAGCAGUGAGGAAUAUUGGACAAUGGAGGCAACUCUGAUCCAGCCAUGCCGCGUGCAGGAAGACUGCCCUAUGGGUUGUAAACUGCUUUUAUACAGGAAGAAACACUGCUACGUGUAGCAGCUUGACGGUACUGUAAGAAUAAGGAUCGGCUAACUCCGUGCCAGCAGCCGCGGUAAUACGGAGGAUCCAAGCGUUAUCCGGAAUCAUUGGGUUUAAAGGGUCCGUAGGUGGAUAAUUAAGUCAGAGGUGAAAUCCUGCAGCUCAACUGUAGAAUUGCCUUUGAUACUGGUUAUCUUGAGUUAUUAUGAAGUAGUUAGAAUAUGUAGUGUAGCGGUGAAAUGCAUAGAUAUUACAUAGAAUACCAAUUGCGAAGGCAGAUUACUAAUAAUAUACUGACACUGAUGGACGAAAGCGUGGGGAGCGAACAGGAUUAGAUACCCUGGUAGUCCACGCCGUAAACGAUGGUCACUAGCUGUUCGAACUUCGGUUUGAGUGGCUAAGCGAAAGUGAUAAGUGACCCACAU
This 855-nucleotide ribosomal RNA is filed under the name Olleya sp. RNAcentral describes it as "bacterial SSU rRNA". It matches the Rfam family "Bacterial small subunit ribosomal RNA", at positions 17 to 874 of the family's 1533-position model. The record is from RNAcentral. Lineage: Bacteria; Pseudomonadati; Bacteroidota; Flavobacteriia; Flavobacteriales; Flavobacteriaceae.